This is a long non-coding RNA of Canis lupus familiaris (dog), 1602 nucleotides long. RefSeq lists it as uncharacterized. The transcript is spliced from 4 exons. The record is from RefSeq and is a predicted model, not a curated record. Lineage: Eukaryota; Metazoa; Chordata; Mammalia; Carnivora; Canidae.
CGCCCAGCGUCCCUUGGGGACGGCCGCGGCGUCCAACCCCGCCGGGUGCGGGAAGGCAAACUUGACCGAACUUUCCCAACCCGGAGACUGGUGACGGUGACCUGGGAUACUUUAAGUCAGGAGGGAGGCAGAUGAACUCCAGAUGCAGCCUUGUAGGAAACGAAGCGGAUUGCAUUAAAACGUCUAUCAGUGGAGUCCGACAACUUUAAUUGUACACGCUUGUUUUCUGUUUCUGCCUACGUAAGAACGUGGACAUGUAGCUGAACAUUGGCGAGGUUUAUUUUUUAAGCAUCUUGGCAAAACUCCAUGGGAGAUGGAUUUGGUUUCCAGAGCGGUAUUAGGUUUUUAGGAACUCUCUGACACCACGAACCUGUGGGUGAUCAGCUACUUGAGGAUAUCAUGAGGAUGUUUAAUACUGUGACUUACAGAACUGGGGUUGGAAGUUUUCUUGUCAGUCUUUGUCAACGAACGUUAAGGUGUUGAUCUCAAAAAAGAAAAUUAGGUUUGAGAAACUUCAUUUGACUAUGGAAUGCCAAAGUUCAAGUAUAAGGCUAAACUCGUUCUUUUCUCCAGGCCCUGAAGAGGCCUUUUGAGUUGGUAUCCAGUUUAACGUCAUCUCUGUUCCCACAGACAACUCUUCUCAUCUUUCCACAGCCCCUGACCCAGAGAUCAGGUUGCCUGCAGAGCCAGCUCAGGCUAUGGCCCUGCCACCUGAGGGCAGAUCUCAGCUAGACUCAGACCCAGGUUGGACACUUAAUGCUGGUUUGCUUGAGACAAGACAGUUGUGCCCCUCCCAUGCCUCUACUACACCCUCAGUGAGCCGGGCCUGAGUUCUCAUCCCUCUGCUUGGUCUUGAAGCUCCUUGGGACGUGGACUGAGUGCCCAGGAAGAGAGCUUCUAAAGAUUGAGCUCUAUUUCGUUUCCUUAGCAGUCCCAAAGGCUUGUGGUAUGGAAGUGUCAGUGCUUUGGUGUUGCUAAGACUAGUUGGACAAGUUUUUGUCCUAUCCCAGACUUGUAAAAACCAGAAUUUUUUUUGUUGUCGUUGUUACAAGAAAAACACCGUUGUAUAAAUUUGUCUUUUAAAUACAUGUUUGAAAAGAGAACAGUUUCUAAAACAAGUUCAUCUAACUCCGUGAGCGAAGCUUUUGGGGCAUGGGGCCUGCCAGUGACUGGCUUCCCUUUGGGGCGUUAUUCCUACGUGGUAACUAGUGCUCCCCUUUAAGGAGUCUCUGCAAAAGUAACCUUGAAACAUUAUCCUCUUUUUCAAAAUCAGAAAAUAAUUCCGGUUUUGCCGAAAGUCCCAUUUCUCUGAUAGGUUUUAUUUUGUGUUUUCCUGUUAAGGCAGUAUUCCCCAGAAGUAGAUCAUUUUGAUUACAAUAUGUAUCCCGUCUUGUACCCUUUAGAAAAUGCGGAGGAAACAAAUCAUCAAGGAGUUCUACACAGCUGCUGUCUUUGUUUCCUUGGUUCUCUUAAUAUCGGUGUCUUUGAGAUUGGGUGUGGGAGGGGGUCACUUCACUGUCAGUGGAUUAAAGGUUUUUUCUCCAUGUGAAACUAUGUGUAGUGUUUUGUUUUGUUUUGUUUGAAAGGUGCAAGGCAGUGGAG